UACGGCCACAUUACACUGCAACAGCAGCUCCUAUACGAUCACAGAAGUUAAGCAAUGUCAAGCCUGGCGAGUAACUAGAUGGGUGACUACUUGGGAAUACUAGGUGCUGUAAG
This is a non-coding RNA of Acanthosepion pharaonis, 113 nucleotides long. The record is from the annotation of a GenBank genome assembly. NCBI's taxonomy places the organism in Eukaryota, Metazoa, Mollusca, Cephalopoda, Sepiida, Sepiidae.